RNAcentral lists this transfer RNA (71 nucleotides) under Acidobacteriota bacterium. RNAcentral's name for it is "Acidobacteria bacterium (groundwater metagenome) tRNA-Ala". It matches the Rfam family "tRNA". Rfam says of the family: Transfer RNA (tRNA) molecules are approximately 80 nucleotides in length. Their secondary structure includes four short double-helical elements and three loops (D, anti-codon, and T loops). Further hydrogen bonds mediate the characteristic L-shaped molecular structure. tRNAs have two regions of fundamental functional importance: the anti-codon, which is responsible for specific mRNA codon recognition, and the 3' end, to which the tRNAs corresponding amino acid is attached (by aminoacyl-tRNA synthetases). tRNAs cope with the degeneracy of the genetic code in two manners: having more than one tRNA (with a specific anti-codon) for a particular amino acid; and 'wobble' base-pairing, i.e. permitting non-standard base-pairing at the 3rd anti-codon position. The record is from RNAcentral. Lineage: Bacteria; Pseudomonadati; Acidobacteriota. RNAcentral also lists the same sequence under 7 other names.
GGGGCCAUGGUUUAAUGGGAGAACGCGACCUUCGCAAGGUUGAGAUGGCGGUUCGAUUCCGCCUGGCUCCA